AUACGUAGGGGGCAAGCGUUGUCCGGAAUUAUUGGGCGUAAAGCGCGCGCAGGCGGUCAUUUAAGUCUGGUGUUUAAACCUUGGGCUCAACCUAAGGUCGCACUGGAAACUGGGUGACUUGAGUACAGAAGAGGAAAGUGGAAUUCCACGUGUAGCGGUGAAAUGCGUAGAUAUGUGGAGGAACACCAGUGGCGAAGGCGACUUUCUGGGCUGUAACUGACGCUGAGGCGCGAAAGCGUGGGGAGCAAACAGGAUUAGAUACCCUGGUAGUCCACGCCGUAAACGAUGAGUGCUAGGUGUUAGGGGUUUCGAUACCCUUGGUGCCGAAGUUAACACAGUAAGCACUCCGCCUGGGGAGUACGGUCGCAAGACUGAA
RNAcentral lists this ribosomal RNA (376 nucleotides) under uncultured bacterium. Its description in RNAcentral is "bacterial SSU rRNA". It matches the Rfam family "Bacterial small subunit ribosomal RNA", at positions 523 to 898 of the family's 1533-position model. The record is from RNAcentral.